CGGAAGCCGUCGGGCUGCGCGGGGUCGGGCUUUUAGUCCCAGGUGCAGCGCGGUGGGGCCGAGUGCGGCCGGCGCGAGUCAGCUUCGCCGGGCUCCAGCUCUGUACCCGGCGCGUGCUGGCUUGGGACAGGAUGGCUACGGGGCGUGGAGUGCUGGACCUGCCAACACCCAGGGUGCAUAUGGAACUGGCGUGGCCAGCUGGCAAGGUUAUGAAAACUACAAUUACUACGGCGCCCAGAACACCAGUGUCGCCACAGGCGCAACCUACAGCUACGGCCCAGCCUCGUGGGAGGCUGCCAAGGCCAAUGAUGGCGGCCUGGCAGCCGGGGCCCCUGCUAUGCACAUGGCCUCUUACGGCCCAGAGCCAUGCACCGACAAUUCCGACUCCCUCAUUGCCAAGAUCAACCAGCGUUUGGACAUGAUGUCCAAGGAAGGAGGCAGGGGCGGGAGCGGCGGCGGUGGGGAGGGCAUGCAGGACCGGGAGAGGUGAUUAUGGACCCAAUCCCUUCCCCUGGGACCCCACACAUCCCCACCUUUGUGCACAUGGGAGUGGGCA
Molecule: small RNA, 556 nt
Filed under: Pongo abelii (Sumatran orangutan)
Lineage: Eukaryota; Metazoa; Chordata; Mammalia; Primates; Hominidae
Description: retained intron
Source: RNAcentral